Molecule: ribosomal RNA, 468 nt
Filed under: uncultured bacterium
Lineage: Bacteria
Description: partial 16S ribosomal RNA
Rfam family: Bacterial small subunit ribosomal RNA
Source: RNAcentral
GACGAACGCUGGCGGCGUGCUUAACACAUGCAAGUCGAACGGAAAGGCCCUGCUUUUGUGGGGUGCUCGAGUGGCGAACGGGUGAGUAACACGUGAGUAACCUGCCCUUGACUUUGGGAUAACUUCAGGAAACUGGGGCUAAUACCGGAUAGGAGCUCCUGCUGCAUGGUGGGGGUUGGAAAGUUUCGGCGGUUGGGGAUGGACUCGCGGCUUAUCAGCUUGUUGGUGGGGUAGUGGCUUACCAAGGCUUUGACGGGUAGCCGGCCUGAGGGGGUGACCGGCCACAUUGGGACUGAGAUACGGCCCAGACUCCUACGGGAGGCAGCAGUGGGGAAUAUUGCACAAUGGGCGGAAGCUUGAUGCAGCAACGCCGCGUGCGGGAUGACGGCCUUCGGGUUGUAAACCGCUUUCGCCUGUGACGAAGCGUGAGUGACGGUAAUGGGUAAAGAAGCACCGGCUAACUACGUG